UUAAGCGACUAAGCGUACACGGUGGAUGCCCUGGCAGUCAGAGGCGAUGAAGGACGUGCUAAUCUGCGAAAAGCGUCGGUAAGGUGAUAUGAACCGUUAUAACCGGCGAUGUCCGAAUGGGGAAACCCAGUGCAAUUCGUUGCACUAUCGUUAACUGAAUACAUAGGUUAACGAGGCGAACCGGGGGAACUGAAACAUCUAAGUACCCCGAGGAAAAGAAAUCAACCGAGAUUCCCCCAGUAGCGGCGAGCGAACGGGGAGCAGCCCAGAGUCUGAAUCAGCUUGUGUGUUAGUGGAACGGUCUGGAAAGUCCGACGGUACAGGGUGAUAGUCCCGUACACCAAAAUGCACAGGUUGUGAACUCGAAGAGUAGGGCGGGACACGUGGUAUCCUGUCUGAAUAUGGGGGGACCAUCCUCCAAGGCUAAAUACUCCUGACUGACCGAUAGUGAACCAGUACCGUGAGGGAAAGGCGAAAAGAACCCCGGCGAGGGGAGUGAAAAAGAACCUGAAACCGUGUACGUACAAGCAGUGGGAGCACCUUUAUGGUGUGACUGCGUACCUUUUGUAUAAUGGGUCAGCGACUUAUAUUCUGUAGCAAGGUUAACCGUAUAGGGGAGCCGCAGGGAAACCGAGUCUUAACUGGGCGUUAAGUUGCAGGGUAUAGACCCGAAACCCGGUGAUCUAGCCAUGGGCAGGUUGAAGGUUGGGUAACACUAACUGGAGGACCGAACCGACUAAUGUUGAAAAAUUAGCGGAUGACUUGUGGCUGGGGGUGAAAGGCCAAUCAAACCGGGAGAUAGCUGGUUCUCCCCGAAAGCUAUUUAGGUAGCGCCUCGUGAACUCAUCUUCGGGGGUAGAGCACUGUUUCGGCUAGGGGGUCAUCCCGACUUACCAACCCGAUGCAAACUACGAAUACCGAAGAAUGUUAUCACGGGAGACACACGGCGGGUGCUAACGUCCGUCGUGAAGAGGGAAACAACCCAGACCGCCAGCUAAGGUCCCAAAGUCAUGGUUAAGUGGGAAACGAUGUGGGAAGGCACAGACAGCCAGGAUGUUGGCUUAGAAGCAGCCAUCAUUUAAAGAAAGCGUAAUAGCUCACUGGUCGAGUCGGCCUGCGCGGAAGAUGUAACGGGGCUAAACCAUGCACCGAAGCUGCGGCAGCGACACGAUGUGUUGUUGGGUAGGGGAGCGUUCUGUAAGCCUGCGAAGGUGGCCUGUGAGGGUUGCUGGAGGUAUCAGAAGUGCGAAUGCUGACAUAAGUAACGAUAAAGCGGGUGAAAAGCCCGCUCGCCGGAAGACCAAGGGUUCCUGUCCAACGUUAAUCGGGGCAGGGUGAGUCGACCCCUAAGGCGAGGCCGAAAGGCGUAGUCGAUGGGAAACAGGUUAAUAUUCCUGUACUUGGUGUUACUGCGAAGGGGGGACGGAGAAGGCUAUGUUAGCCGGGCGACGGUUGUCCCGGUUUAAGCAUGUAGGCUGGUUAUCCAGGCAAAUCCGGAUAAUCAAGGCUGAGGUGUGAUGACGAGGCACUACGGUGCUGAAGUAACAAAUGCCCUGCUUCCAGGAAAAGCCUCUAAGCAUCAGGUAACAUCAAAUCGUACCCCAAACCGACACAGGUGGUCAGGUAGAGAAUACCAAGGCGCUUGAGAGAACUCGGGUGAAGGAACUAGGCAAAAUGGUGCCGUAACUUCGGGAGAAGGCACGCUGGUGUGUAGGUGAAGCCCCUGCGGGUGGAGCUGAGACCAGUCGAAGAUACCAGCUGGCUGCAACUGUUUAUUAAAAACACAGCACUGUGCAAACACGAAAGUGGACGUAUACGGUGUGACGCCUGCCCGGUGCCGGAAGGUUAAUUGAUGGGGUUAUCCGUAAGGAGAAGCUCUUGAUCGAAGCCCCGGUAAACGGCGGCCGUAACUAUAACGGUCCUAAGGUAGCGAAAUUCCUUGUCGGGUAAGUUCCGACCUGCACGAAUGGCGUAAUGAUGGCCAGGCUGUCUCCACCCGAGACUCAGUGAAAUUGAACUCGCUGUGAAGAUGCAGUGUACCCGCGGCAAGACGGAAAGACCCCGUGAACCUUUACUAUAGCUUGACACUGAACAUUGAGCCUUGAUGUGUAGGAUAGGUGGGAGGCUUUGAAGCGUGGACGCCAGUCUGCGUGGAGCCAACCUUGAAAUACCACCCUUUAAUGUUUGAUGUUCUAACGUUGGCCCCUUAUCGGGGUUGCGGACAGUGUCUGGUGGGUAGUUUGACUGGGGCGGUCUCCUCCCAAAGCGUAACGGAGGAGCACGAAGGUUAGCUAAUCCUGGUCGGACAUCAGGAGGUUAGUGCAAUGGCAUAAGCUAGCUUGACUGCGAGCGUGACGGCGCGAGCAGGUGCGAAAGCAGGUCAUAGUGAUCCGGUGGUUCUGAAUGGAAGGGCCAUCGCUCAACGGAUAAAAGGUACUCCGGGGAUAACAGGCUGAUACCGCCCAAGAGUUCAUAUCGACGGCGGUGUUUGGCACCUCGAUGUCGGCUCAUCACAUCCUGGGGCUGAAGUAGGUCCCAAGGGUAUGGCUGUUCGCCAUUUAAAGUGGUACGCGAGCUGGGUUUAGAACGUCGUGAGACAGUUCGGUCCCUAUCUGCCGUGGGCGCUGGAGAAUUGAGGGGGGCUGCUCCUAGUACGAGAGGACCGGAGUGGACGCAUCACUGGUGUUCGGGUUGUCAUGCCAAUGGCACUGCCCGGUAGCUAAAUGCGGAAGAGAUAAGUGCUGAAAGCAUCUAAGCACGAAACUUGCCCCGAGAUGAGUUCUCCCUGAGACUUUAAGUCUCCUGAAGGAACGUUAAAGACGAUGACGUUGAUAGGCCGGGUGUGUAAGCGCAGCGAUGCGUUGAGCUAACCGGUACUAAUGAACCGUGAGGCUUAACCUU
Molecule: ribosomal RNA, 2901 nt
Filed under: Klebsiella quasipneumoniae
Lineage: Bacteria; Pseudomonadati; Pseudomonadota; Gammaproteobacteria; Enterobacterales; Enterobacteriaceae
Description: 23S ribosomal RNA
Rfam family: Bacterial large subunit ribosomal RNA
Source: RNAcentral